GCUAUCACUCUUGGAUGGACCUGCGGUGCAUUAGCUAGUUGGUAAGGUAACGGCUUACCAAGGCAAUGAUGCAUAGCCGAGUUGAGAGACUGAUCGGCCACAUUGGGACUGAGACACGGCCCAAACUCCUACGGGAGGCAGCAGUAGGGAAUCUUCCACAAUGGACGAAAGUCUGAUGGAGCAACGCCGCGUGAGUGAAGAAGGGUUUCGGCUCGUAAAGCUCUGUUGGUAGUGAAGAAAGAUAGAGGUAGUAACUGGCCUUUAUUUGACGGUAAUUACUUAGAAAGUCACGGCUAACUACGUGCCAGCAGCCGCGGUAAUACGUAGGUGGCAAGCGUUGUCCGGAUUUAUUGGGCGUAAAGCGAGUGCAGGCGGUUCAAUAAGUCUGAUGUGAAAGCCUUCGGCUCAACCGGAGAAUUGCAUCAGAAACUGUUGAACUUGAGUGCAGAAGAGGAGAGUGGAACUCCAUGUGUAGCGGUGGAAUGCGUAGAUAUAUGGAAGAACACCAGUGGCGAAGGCGGCUCUCUGGUCUGCAACUGACGCUGAGGCUCGAAAGCAUGGGUAGCGAACAGGAUUAGAUACCCUGGUAGUCCAUGCCGUAAACGAUGAGUGCUAAGUGUUGGGAGGUUUCCGCCUCUCAGUGCU
Molecule: ribosomal RNA, 645 nt
Filed under: uncultured bacterium
Lineage: Bacteria
Description: bacterial SSU rRNA
Rfam family: Bacterial small subunit ribosomal RNA
Source: RNAcentral